UACGAAGGGGGCUAGCGUUGCUCGGAAUCACUGGGCGUAAAGCGCACGUAGGCGGAUCUUUAAGUCAGGGGUGAAAUCCUGGAGCUCAACUCCAGAACUGCCUUUGAUACUGAAGAUCUCGAGUCCGGAAGAGGUGAGUGGAACUCCGAGUGUAGAGGUGAAAUUCGUAGAUAUUCGGAAGAACACCAGUGGCGAAGGCGGCUCACUGGUCCGGUACUGACGCUGAGGUGCGAAAGCGUGGGGAGCAAACAGG
Molecule: ribosomal RNA, 253 nt
Filed under: uncultured bacterium
Lineage: Bacteria
Description: partial 16S ribosomal RNA
Rfam family: Bacterial small subunit ribosomal RNA
Source: RNAcentral